This 423-nucleotide long non-coding RNA is filed under the name Homo sapiens (human). Its description in RNAcentral is "novel transcript". Lineage: Eukaryota; Metazoa; Chordata; Mammalia; Primates; Hominidae. The record is from RNAcentral.
GGAUCUGAAGAAAUCUUGCAAGCUGAAGCCUGACAGUUUGGUGCAAACCUCCGAGGGCUCACCACUUCAGUAGAACAUGCAUGGUUCAGGUGGUUUUACAGGAACAACACUAACAAAGUCCUCUGGAGACCCUUUCUUGGAUCCCGCUCCACCUUCUCAGGAGGUUUAUGAUCACCUCGGAGUUGUUCAGCAAUGAGACACUUGCCUUGAACAAAAAGGAGGCUAACUACAGAGGACCACCCUGCCCUUGCAUAUUCCAAGACAGACUCAUCUCCAUCCUUGCGCGUGACUCCCGUAGGACUCGCAGAUGGCUCCGUUAGUGACCUGCUUGCAUAAAACCCUCGGUCCCCUUCCUUUUCUUUGAGGAAGUUCUCAUUAACGAUCAUUCUCCUUAUAAUAGCCUGAAUAAAAUCAUAUAUUUAA